GCGCUUCUGAAUAUUUGGAAAAUUUAAACUAAGAUCAAAGUUACGGUCAGCGAAAAUCGAAAAAUCGCGUCGCGUUGUCGAUUCGCGUCCGUUGUGUCUGGAACUUUACGUGUAAUCCAGAGUACGUUUGUGUUAUUACAAAAUGUUUCAAUCAAUCAAUUAAUCAAUCGUGAUGGUACACAAAAUGUCAUUAUUCUGGACUUAUCAACAUGAACAAGUUCUGUG
Molecule: non-coding RNA, 225 nt
Organism: Paramuricea clavata
Lineage: Eukaryota; Metazoa; Cnidaria; Anthozoa; Malacalcyonacea; Plexauridae
Source: the annotation of a GenBank genome assembly